Amblyraja radiata (thorny skate) is the source of this 367-nucleotide long non-coding RNA. RefSeq lists it as uncharacterized. Lineage: Eukaryota; Metazoa; Chordata; Chondrichthyes; Rajiformes; Rajidae. The record is from RefSeq and is a predicted model, not a curated record. The transcript is spliced from 2 exons.
ACAUGUCCCAGCGGGCCUUGUCGGCCUUUAGGUUGAGCCGAGGGUCUUCUCUUCAUAACAAGAUUUUCGACAUGUGUAUUUUUAAUUAAAUCUUCCUCCAUGUCUGUAUACACGCUGAAUGAAAGAAUGCAAUUGCAUGCGUAUAAUUUAUUUAUCAGCUUCUUGGGAUAUGCCUCACUCCUUAAAACCAAUGAUGUACAGCUCCACAAGGAUUGCACAGAACUCACAAAACCAGAAACAUGUUGCAGCAUUGAAGAAAACCAUUUGGAUCUUGCCCCAACUGGCCAAAAGUGGACUAAUAAGUGAAUGCUUCUAACCUUGGUCCUUUUAACAGUUUGUGUUUAUAAAGGUACUUUUUACAUGUGAA